Molecule: long non-coding RNA, 2976 nt
Filed under: Medicago truncatula (barrel medic)
Lineage: Eukaryota; Viridiplantae; Streptophyta; Magnoliopsida; Fabales; Fabaceae
Description: long non-coding RNA (MTRU_LNC007796)
Source: RNAcentral
AUCUCUCUCCGUCCGUCACGGUUGCAUAGCCACAAACCCAUAUUGUAAGUUAUUUUUCAAUCUCCUCAUUCGAUUUUCCUUUUUCGUUUCGAUUUUAGAAUCCUGAAUCCAUGUGUUGGUUUGUUGUUGUUGUUGCUUUUAUUAUUAUUGUCGGGUAAUAAUUUGAUUAUUGAUUUGGUUUCACAUUCAAUCUCCAAAUGACCCUAAUCAACCCUUUUGCAUUAAGUGACAAUUGGAGUUCACAACAUUUGAUAUAUAUAAUUAAAAAUGUUUAUGUAAUGUAGAAGACAUUAUAUGAAAGUUUGGCAACUGUAACACCCCGUUUUCCCAACAUAAAAAUUUCACAUAAAUAAUCAGAGUAUUCACAUAAACAGAAUAUCACACUUCUUUUCUUAAAAAUCAUAAACGGAAUAAUUAACUAAUUUUCCUUCAAAUUCAACAACAUAAUAAUUAAUACUUCGCAGCGGAAUUUAUUCAACAUCUAAAACAGUCUUUGGCACGAAGGCCUCAUCAUAAAAAAUCUCAUAAAAUUCAAUCAACAACUUAUUCAUGAAAAUUCAUAAAGCAAUACGUAAGGAAUAGAAAAGCAAUAACAAAGUUCUCAUCCCGUUACGUAUCAGAGCACCUAAAGACACACGUGAGAGAUAGUCCACUCACGACAGCAACUAACAACAACUUAUUCUCGAUCACCUGCAAGUUACCCAUACAAAGGGCAACAUUUCCAAGCAGAAGGGGUGAGAUUUCACAAACAAUAAUAUUAAGCAUAUAAUUCAUCAAUUAUAUUUAACAACAUAAACAUCACCAAUUCAUCAUAAUUCUUCAUAAAACAUAACAACUUGACUCGACAAUGCAACUUCGACUUGACUAUGCAACUUAUCUUCUUAAUCAUGCAUGUGGUACCAAUCCAGGGCAUCAAGCCCUCAACUUAUUUGAGCAUUAAUAUACUCCCAGGGCAUCAAUCUCUCAACUUAAUUUAGCAAAGGCUCCAGGUCAUCAAGCCCCCAACUUUAAUGAUAAUGCAUGGACUCAAUCAACUUGUACAUCUUAGAUAACAUCAACAACUUAAGACUCCAAUACUUUGGAACAACAUCUUUCAUCUUAGACCGGCUCAUGUAGUUUAAUUAAUAGACAACAUCAACAUAGGCAGCACAAUAACAAUCCAGAUAUAACAAUAUCAAAGAGGAAAUCAACAUCAACUUAAACAUCUUAUAUAAUUUACAUAAUGCAUAUACAACUAUAUCACAUUACUAACAACAUCAAAUCAUUUAUAUCAGACUCUCUGAAACAUCAACAGUAUUAUAAUCAACCUCCAUUCCUACCCCAAGGAUCAACUUAUAACCUCACGUGCGACAAAAAUCGCAUAAACUCUAAACAAGGUAGUCUGUCUCUAAAGAGCUCGCGAGGCGAGGGACAUUGCUCGCUAUGGCGAGUUCAGGAAAUGGCUAUUCGCCUUGGCGAGUAAGCAGCUCGCCUUGGCGAACAAGAAACUGGGUGCUCUCAGGAAUUUGACAUUUUUCACCAAAAAAUCUCAUAUUUAAACUUCCCCAUGUUCCAUUUCAAUCUAAAAACUUGUCUAAUCAUUCUUAUACAUAUUCAUGCACCCAAAACCAUCUAAAGCUCGACUAAAGGAGUUAAAUCACAAAAUCAGGUUUUCUCUCUGGUCAACUCGCUAUGGCGAGCUACAAAGUGAAACUCGCGAGGCGAAGGGAAUUGCUCGCGAGGUGAGCGAUGAAGUUCAUCACUCGCGAGGGCGAGCGAUGAAUCUCAGCUCGGGCAGAAUGUAGAUUUUUACGAAAAUCCACCUAACCACAUGGUUCAAAGCUUAAAACUGAUUCUAAACAUCACCCUAUGGAUUAUCUAAGGUCCGUACACACUUUAUACAUCAAUUCUACAAGUUUCCAUCAUCUAAUCCUCAAUUAUCACUCUUAACCCUGAUUUCCAAUUCUCCAAAACUAAUCCUACAACAUGUUAAAUCUAAUCAUCAGAAUCAUAGGCUUAAGAAAACUGAAUGUUAGUCCCACCCUUACCUUAACAAAAUCGAUCAGCAACCUCUCUUGGUUCUUCUCUCCUCUUGUUCUCCCUUUUCUCCAAAACUCGUUGUACGUGAAAAUAAUUCUAAACCUAUUUUAUCCUAUUUAUCUCUUCCCAUCUAUUUUAUCUUUUCCCACAAAACUCUCUAAAUUCUCAAAACAACCCCUCAUCUCAAUAUUUAUUUUAUUUUCAAAUAUUAUUCUAUUAAAUAAUAAAAUAAGGCCUCUUAAUAAAUCACAACACAUCACAUAAUCAUUUAAAUCACAUAAGUCAUCUAAACAGACUCUAAACUCCACAAAAAUAAUCAAAUAAACAAAGAGGGCGUUACAGCAACUCCCAAAGAAAUAGUACAAUUGAAACUCGAAAACAACUUCAUUGUUUUUUACUUGGAAACUUUUUUUUUUCUUUCUUUCCAGCAUUCAAGUCAUCACAGUGGGUUAAAUUUAGUGGAAAACUACCCAUCUUGAUAAAUUUUUUAAUAUUGACCUUUUUUAAAUGUUGUUUUCAUUAAGAAAUCUAUAAAAACUGCUUCAUGAAUAUUAUGGGUUAGUGCCUUAAUCAACCCUAAAAAGACUCCUAUUGUUUGACCUCCAUUUCAUUUCUCUUGGUUUAUUUAUUUUUUGUUCAAAAUCUUUAUAUCAGUUUACAUUAAAGGUAUACUUGAUUGUUGUUUCCAAAUUUCUGAUUGAAUGUCAUUCUUUACCAAUGUAGGGAUGUUAGAUGGUUGUUUGAAACUGUGAAUAAAUCUAUGUAAUGUUAGAUAAAUUGGAGCAAGAAGAUAGCCAUGCGGUUGUAGCUUAAUGCUGGAGAAGAGAAGAAUAGUUAUUUAUGAUCAAGUAAAACCUUAGAAAAGAACUUUGAGUUUGACAACUAGAUAGAGCAAGAGCCAUAGGAGAGAUCAUGGUUUAGUAUUUGGACCUGUCCGGGCCUUGCUGCCAGUUUAUU